RNAcentral lists this ribosomal RNA (483 nucleotides) under uncultured bacterium. RNAcentral's name for it is "partial 16S ribosomal RNA". It matches the Rfam family "Bacterial small subunit ribosomal RNA", at positions 30 to 507 of the family's 1533-position model. The record is from RNAcentral.
UUGAACGCUGGCGGCAGGCCUAACACAUGCAAGUCGAGCGGAUGAAGGGAGCUUGCUCCUGGAUUCAGCGGCGGACGGGUGAGUAAUGCCUAGGAAUCUGCCUGGUAGUGGGGGAUAACGUCCGGAAACGGGCGCUAAUACCGCAUACGUCCUGAGGGAGAAAGUGGGGGAUCUUCGGACCUCACGCUAUCAGAUGAGCCUAGGUCGGAUUAGCUAGUUGGUGGGGUAAAGGCCUACCAAGGCGACGAUCCGUAACUGGUCUGAGAGGAUGAUCAGUCACACUGGAACUGAGACACGGUCCAGACUCCUACGGGAGGCAGCAGUGGGGAAUAUUGGACAAUGGGCGAAAGCCUGAUCCAGCCAUGCCGCGUGUGUGAAGAAGGUCUUCGGGUUGUAAAGCACUUUAAGUUGGGAGGAAGGGCAGUAAGUUAAUACCUUGCUGUUUUGACGUUACCAACAGAAUAAGCACCGGCUAACUUCGUG